GUUUGUGUACGUGGUUUGUUACAAUUUUCCCUUGAAACACGUGUCCUCAUGUUUACACCUUACUUCUAAACAGUUUUACUUCAGAUGAGAGAGAACCGGAAGAGAGAAAAGGGAGAGAAGAGAGAGGGGCGGUGACCGGAGGGCCACUGUCGUCGCACCACCACCACGGUCACCAUCUCCGAUUUCUUUUUAGGGGUUUUUUCCUCAGAAAAUAGAGAAAGGAAAGAGGGAAGGAGAAGAUGGAGGGUGGAGGGUCACCACUGUUACACCACCACCACGGUUACCAUCUGGCGUCUCUGUUUUGUGGGGGGUGACCUCCAUACGAACCUGGGCUCUCUCGACGGUCGGGAAAUGAACAGCGUUUAUCUUCGUGGUUUGUUCCGAUUGACUUAUUUAGGCAGUCAUCUCCCCUGUGUCUUCCUGCUUUGGUCAUUGGAAACGAUGCCACUGAGACGACGAUUGGUUUCUUAGGGUUUUGCUUUGGCAUCGUCUUUUGUCUGCUGUUGGUUCCUAUGCCUUCAUUGGUUAGGUUUUUUGUCUUGGCUUCAAGGAUUUGACUAAAAAUUGAUGAGCAUGUAGCCUUGGCGUGACCAGGAUGAUGGAUGGUAUGUUUUUACUUGCAGCCAUGGACUUCUAUUUGGCUUUAGAACUCUGAGCCUGGGAUGGGAAGUGCAACCAUCUUUUGUUGUUUAUGAUUUUUCAAGUUAAAAAAAAAAAUAGAGUAAGAUUAGAGUGGUUGUAUUCUAUUAAUUUUUUACUUAUAUUAUUGUUCAAGUCGUUGUAUUCUCUUAUUUACUUACGAGUUUCCAGGGAGCUAAUCGUUUUGUGGUUGCUUGCUUGCUGAUGAACUAAUCGUUUUGUGGUAAUGUUAUUGAUCUAAUUGGGGUUUGUUUGAUUGGUUUAAGAUAAAGUGGGGAAGAGUGGGUCAAAAAACGUUCAAAUAUUGACAAUGCGAGAUUGCCAAAGAUCAAUAGGGUUUCGCAGCCGAGUAAUGUGAUUGAUCUGUUUUGUUGUUUUCCGUCCUUUUGGUUACAAAAGGGAAGCACAGUGACAAAUAUUGAUAACUAAAAAAAUCUGAAAAUGUGUCUAUACAUGAAUUGAUGUCUUUUACACGAUCUUAUAUGGUUCUGGAAGGAUUUCCUGACAGUGUUGGCCCUUUGUACCUGUCGUACAUGACAUGGAGAGCUUUAAUGCACUUCUUUGGGGGAGCAAUGGGUGUCUUCACAACGCAAGCACUUCUACACUCUGUUAAAAGCCAAGCUAUGCCAUGUGUUGGUUAAGCAAGGAUGGUGUGAUCAUAGAGGAACAUAGCAAGAUGUUAAAGCCAAGAUUCAAAUAAGGCAAGGAGGUGCCUUUAAACGUGAAUGGGCGCUAGCAUAUGAUCUUGCUCAAGAGGUAAUGAAUCCUUACAUUAGGGGUGUGAAUUUCUGACGCGACCUGAAAACACGACAUGAGCCUAACACGAAAUUCGCGGGUUUGGGUUUAGUCUAAACGGGUUCGGGUCAGUUUCAGGUUGAACCCGCCAACCCGUUUAGCUAAACAGGUCAGGUUCGGGUCAACCCGGUCGGGUUGGCGGGUUGACCCGUUUAACCCAUUUCUAUAAUAUUAUAUUUUUUACAAUAUGUUUUAUGUUAUAAAUUAAAUUUGGUGUGUAUUUUAUGCUAUACUUAUAACUUAAAAAUAUAAAUUGACAUAAGAUUUUACGAUUCUAAUGUAAUUUUAUUAUCUAAUUUGUGUUUUUUUAGUAGAUGUUAAUUUUAAUAUAUUAAUUUGCUGAAAAAAAUUUGGGUUGAACGGGUCGGGUCGGGUUCGGGUCAGCCUGCGAAUAUUUGGGUCAGGUUCGGGUUCAUAUGUAUGAAACGAUUUUCGAGUUCAGGUCGGGUUUGUGUUCGUCUAAAAUUUUCGGGUUCGGGUCAGGGUUUUUCUUCGUUUAAUACUUUCUCGAGAUUCUGUAUUUUUUUAUUUUAAAGUCGGGAACAUGCAUUGAAGGAUCAAUGUUGUGAGAUUCCAGACAUUGUUUUACAGAUUUUAGAUCAAAUAACUGCUGCUUCAUUUCCUCCAACCUAAAUUAAAAAAAACCACAAACGCCAAUUUUAGAACAUUUUACUCAAAAGGCUAUAGUAUUAUUAACAAGAAACUUGCAAAGGCUUUGGUUAGACCUGUCAUCCGUGUUCCUUUAAUGUCGUCUCUUGCAUUUUGGAUAACAUCUAUAGAUAUGUGCUUUAUAGUAGUCUAGGGGUUCACUGGUGUUCUACAGAAUUCUAGAAGAUUUGGAUCCAGAAAACCUGAAUUUCUACGUGUUGAAGGGCUUGGUGAAUUUUACAGGGACGAACUUCUUAAGAUCGACAGUGGGGACGGUGUAUGAUUACUGAUCGUGGACAUUUUGUUCUUUUCAACAUAUGCGUGCCUUGAGUCGAAUCCCAUCUGAUGAUGCAAAACGGCUUGAAUUCAAGCUCUCAUUCUACAAGAUACUGCAGGUGAAGGCACUAGCGACACAAAGAAGACCAGGUACCCGGAUGCAUGAAGAAAAAAAAUUUUGUGAUCUAUGUAUGAAUAGAAGACUAUGUUCGGACUUCUAUAAUUCUCUUAAUAUGUCACAUUGAGACACGUCAACAACUUUUAGUAUCAACUUCGUUACUAUAAGUGAAAUGUUCAAACCGAUAACAAUUCA
Helianthus annuus (common sunflower) is the source of this 2671-nucleotide long non-coding RNA. RefSeq lists it as uncharacterized. The record is from RefSeq and is a predicted model, not a curated record. Lineage: Eukaryota; Viridiplantae; Streptophyta; Magnoliopsida; Asterales; Asteraceae. The transcript is spliced from 6 exons.